GAUGAACGCUAGCUACAGGCUUAACACAUGCAAGUCGAGGGGAAACGACAUCGAAAGCUUGCUUUUGAUGGGCGUCGACCGGCGCACGGGUGAGUAACGCGUAUCCAACCUGCCCAUCACUUGGGAAUAACCUUGCGAAAGUAAGACUAAUACCCAAUGAUAUCCAUAGAAGACAUCUGAAAUGGAUUAAAGAUUUAUCGGUGAUGGAUGGGGAUGCGUCUGAUUAGCUUGUUGGCGGGGUAACGGCCCACCAAGGCGACGAUCAGUAGGGGUUCUGAGAGGAAGGUCCCCCCACAUUGGAACUGAGACACGGUCCAAACUCCUACGGGAGGCAGCAGUGAGGAAUAUUGGUCAAUGGGCAGAGCCUGAACCAGCCAAGUAGCGUGCAGGAAGAC
This 395-nucleotide ribosomal RNA is filed under the name uncultured bacterium. RNAcentral's name for it is "bacterial SSU rRNA". It matches the Rfam family "Bacterial small subunit ribosomal RNA", at positions 28 to 412 of the family's 1533-position model. The record is from RNAcentral.